Molecule: ribosomal RNA, 253 nt
Filed under: uncultured bacterium
Lineage: Bacteria
Description: partial 16S ribosomal RNA
Rfam family: Bacterial small subunit ribosomal RNA
Source: RNAcentral
UACGUAGGGUGCGAGCGUUGUCCGGAAUUAUUGGGCGUAAAGAGCUCGUAGGCGGUCUGUCGCGUCUGCUGUGAAAUCCCGAGGCUCAACCUCGGGCUUGCAGUGGGUACGGGCAGGCUAGAGUGCGGUAGGGGAGAAUGGAACUCCUGGUGUAGCGGUGGAAUGCGCAGAUAUCAGGAAGAACACCGAUGGCGAAGGCAGUUCUCUGGGCCGUAACUGACGCUGAGGAGCGAAAGCAUGGGGAGCAAACAGG